Long non-coding RNA from Mauremys mutica (yellowpond turtle), 717 nucleotides. RefSeq lists it as uncharacterized. The transcript has 3 exons. Lineage: Eukaryota; Metazoa; Chordata; Testudines; Geoemydidae. The record is from RefSeq and is a predicted model, not a curated record.
GUGGGAUUUGUUGCAUCAUGUGUGGAUUUGACUUUGAGUCCUUAUUAGAUUAUUAUUUUGUGUUUGCAGACCCUUAAGAGCCUUUGAGAGGUGCAUUUUGUGAAAGAAGGAUAGAUGUGAGGCUCCAUCUGGUGGAAAAAGAGUUUUGUGUGAAGAUGGGGCAAAGUUGGGCAAAGAACAAGUGAAGUAGAAGUAUGCCUGUGGGGGACAUGAAGUACUUAUUUCCCAAAAUCGAAGUGGAUUUGAUGUCAACUUUGCAAGUUAAGAAUCUAUUUCCAUCUCUGUGGUCGGAAAGUAUCAGCGUCACCGGAGAAGACUUCAGUGUGCGUCGUUCGGAGCAAUUGGGCUUUGAUAAUGUAUUAUUUGGGUCAAGAUGUGAAGUGUUGUCUGUUUGAUGGCUAGAACGUAGUAGAGCAUUGGGGCUGAUGUCACUGUGUUUUGGUAGAUUCCUGAGCAAUUAUAUCAUGAAAUGGCAUCAGUGUCAUUUCUGUUAGUUGAAUUGGAGAGGGUGGGUUCAUUUGUGUGGUCAGUUAAAGGAACAUCACCAUAUAAGUACUUGCACAACAUGUAAUUGUUUCCUGAAAGGAGUGGUUUGUUUGCCACUUGGAAUGUUCUAGCCAUCAAAGUUGCAAGACGACACAGUUGAGGGUUGUAUCAUCUAUUGGGGCAUCCUGAAGUGUUUGUGAAUUCUGUUCAUAAUGUUGUGUGUGCUGUAUU